UGUGCUCCCACAACUAUCCAUGCUAUUCAUCUACUUUUCUUACCAUGACUGGUUGUAAUCUACCAAAAUUCCUCCAAUCAAUGGUUCAGAUCAUCCAAUUAGGGUAAAAUGCCCCAUUCAAUGAAGUUCCUCCAAUCUCUUAUUGCCUUGAAGCUCCACUGCAACAUCUAGUUGUAUAAUCUCUUAUUGCCUUGAAGCUUCCCAUUUCUUUGUUUCUGCAUCAGACUAUUAGUUAGCUUCUAUAUUUUGAGUUCUUGUUCACCUUGCAGGUUCGCAAGUUUAGUAAACACUACAGAAGCUAUGAGAAAUGUGUGGAUGGAUUUGAUCAUCAUUGCCAGGUUAUCCUACAACAUUGGCAUGAACUCAUCGAACGUGACCUUUCCAUCACUAUUGGCAUCCAUCCGGUUGAAAAUCUCAUCAAGCUUCCCAGGCUUUGUUAUGUCUGCUGGAAGGCAGUCUUCUGGCAAGGCCUAUAUGGAUUUCAGUUAGCAGAUGUUUUCUACCAUGUCCAACUAAAACUACAGAGAAGUACUAAGGUGAUUCAUGUGUAGGCAGACUGGAAAGGUGGAGAUUUAAGUCACACAUGUACAAGAUCCAGGUUGUUCAUUAGGUGGGGAAUGCCAUGAACACACCUUGUCCCAAAAUUCUUGCUAGUCUGCAUAUCAAGUGAGACACACAAAUGUUAAACAUAGAUCAACAUGUAUAGCUCCCCUAGUAAGUGGAUCAUUGUGAUUUUUGGGUUAGGGCAUCUUCAAGGUGGCCCCCAUCAGAUCAAUGGACAUAUCUUGCACCUUUGUACUGCCUUAGCAUUUCUUGAAACUCUGCAUGCUUCAAAGGAUGGGUGAGAGAUAUUUACUCUUUGACACUACUUCUUCCUUCGUUAUGCAUCCUGACCUGUCUGUAUCAUACAUCUGAUGAGAACAUAAAAUGUUGUUCUUUUGUAUAUUCUCUUUGAGGGAACUGUCUCUCUGUAGAGCAAAUUCUCCUUUUGUAACUGUUAGUACUACUACUGAAUUGGUUGUAGUUAUUUGUUCUAUUCUUUGCAUGAAGUCGCUUAACAAUUGCGUCGGUCAUAAGAACUACACAACUUUUAUUCUACUUAUUGCCACAAGUCUCAUUUGGGUAUGUGGAAAAUCCACGUCAUUGCUCAAUUGAGAUGUUCUGAUUUCUUUUAGUAUUCUCUUCAAUUAUUUUAACUUUGAAGCUUACUAGAUUUUUGGCUUUUGCGGUUUCAUCUCUUAGACGGUCCGAUUCGGAUUGGAUUGAGAUCCUUUGGUGCGUUGCCAUUUGAUUCGUAUCGUUUCUAUUAGUGUUGUCCUUCAGUUUUUCUUGUAAAAAUCACCCAAUUUGUAAGAACGGGUACUAUCUAUCAUCAAUUUGGCUAAAUUUUCAAUUCAAGCUAAAAUUAGCUGCCUUUGAUGAACCUGUGAUCACUUCCUUGUCAAAGGUUUCUCAACCCUUGGAGUGGAGAACUACAACAGGCACUUACAUUCUUUUAACUUCUUGGUCCAUCUAUAAAAUGAGAUUCAUAGUUGAUUAAUCCAUUGUAUGGAAAUUGAUUAGGUUGUGUGGCCUUGGAUUCAAGUACUUUAGACUUUGUUGCAUUUGCUUUUGUAACCAUUGGUAGUACCUGAACUAAUACCCAUAGCAAACUAAAUGGACAUGAAUUAAAAAUAUGAAAUGAUACUGAAUUCACUUUAGUUGCACCACCACUAUCAAAUAUCAACAUCAUUCAAGACAUUUGCAGAUCCCACUUUUUUUUACCCUUUUGUAUUUGCAGAUUCUCAUAAGUUAAAACAAGGGAAUACAUGAUCCCACUUUUUUUUUUUUUUUUCCUUCUAUAUUUUCAUAUUCUCACACAAGAAUAUUGUGUUUGCAAGAAUGAUAUUCUUGAUGUGCAACUAUUGCAAGAAACAUGGUAUUUGUUCCAAAUUAGACCAAUUAAUCAUGAAAUUUUAGAUAUUUAGUGCAACCAAAUGCACCCUAAAGAUAGUGCUAUGAAGCUCUUUUAUGUAUACGCCAACAAGCCAAGUACCAAUUCUAGUUUGUAGAAAUUGUUCAUGUUUCUAUUCUUUUCUUUGUGUUGUUGGUAUAUGUAUAUGUCUUUGACAUAUUCCUGUUAUUUUCCUGAAGAGCUGGAUUUUUAUAGUACAAGCCACAGGGAAUAAGGUCCCAAAGAGCUGGAAUUUUUGCCAUUCCUUUUUAAAAAUUGCUCGUGUUGAAUGAUCCUAACCAUCUAAUUAUCUCUGGCAAAAAUGAUAGUUUCAUGGUACUUUCUUCCCAAAUUUCAGGACAGGCAUCAUGUGCACAAACGAGAUGGGUAAAACUCCACUCCAGUGACUCGUAACAGCAUAAUCUAUUAUUUCAGGGCAAUGUUGCCAUGGAUGAUGCAUAGGUGCAGUAUAUGGAUCGUGUAUGCCUUCGGAAAUGGUGAAGGGUGGGAAGCUAAUCUUCUCAUUUGAUGCAACAAAGAAAGCUCGCUUUGGCAUGGUUGGUUUGAUAUUAUCCUUCAAGGUUAGGUUGCAAGACUGCCAAUUCCUUUUAGACUUCCAAGUAAUCAAGACACAAGAAUAGAACACAGUUUUGUUGGGGUUUUUGAUAGUGAAUAUUUCUUGCUCAUUUUGCUUAUGGAAUACUAAACUCAUCUUGUCUAUCUUAUGAACAAACCUCAUCAAAAUUUUAAUCCACGCUUCAAUCAUUUAUCUGGUGCACAACAACAAUGUAGAUCCAUGCAGGAUACUGGAUAAGUUGAUGAAUCCCAUGGCAUUCGACAUCAGCCAAUGCUUGGGAGGAGGAGGAUGAAAUUAUUUUGGUCACUUGUCGAAUUGAGAAUCCUGAACUGGACAUGGUUAGCAGACCUGUGAAAGAGAAGCUUAAAACCUUCAUAAAUGAGUUAUAUGAAAUGUGAUUCAACAUGAAAACUGGUGUUGCUUCACAAAAGCAGCUAUCAGCAUCUGCUAUAGAUUUUCCUCGGAUUAAUGAGAGUUACACUAGCAGAGAACACCGAUGAAUGAAGAAGUCUGAACUGUGCAGUCAGUCCAAACCUUCAAGCCAAUAUUAAAUGAAAAUGGUGAUUUCAUAUCUAGGACAAAAUCUGAUUUGCAUUUGUAAUUUGUCAACAAUCUCACAAUUUCUCAUUUUAUUGGAACCCAAACCAAGUGGAAGUUCCUAACCAUCCACUCUUUGGCAUUUUUUACAGACUAUUGCUGUAUUUUUUUUCCUUAACCAUUUACUUCAGGGACAUUGAUCGAAAGAUCAAGAACCUCUCUAUCAGAGGGCAUCUUCCAUCCA
This is a long non-coding RNA of Magnolia sinica, 3291 nucleotides long. RefSeq lists it as uncharacterized. The transcript has 7 exons. The record is from RefSeq and is a predicted model, not a curated record. Lineage: Eukaryota; Viridiplantae; Streptophyta; Magnoliopsida; Magnoliales; Magnoliaceae.